This 520-nucleotide long non-coding RNA is filed under the name Daucus carota (carrot). Its description in RNAcentral is "long non-coding RNA (DCAR_LNC001356)". The record is from RNAcentral. Lineage: Eukaryota; Viridiplantae; Streptophyta; Magnoliopsida; Apiales; Apiaceae.
UAAACCCGUAUUGAUGAUUGAUUGCAAGUCCUCUUUAUGUAAAAAAAGAUUAUCUUUAGAGGCUUUUGUGUGUCCUGUUUUUGUCUAUGCUAAUCUCUGGGAACACGUGUUUUUGUUGGUUGCUAGUCUUUUGUUGUUCAUAUCACAUUCAUUCUUCUUUAUGAAUAAAAUACUGAUCACCUAACAUGUUAGCCCACAAAGAUUAAAAAGACUUGUCUAUCGUUUUCAUGAAUCUAGAGUUCCGAUAACGUUUGGAUUCUAUUGCUUUUCUGAAUCAUGACUCAGUACACUCUAAGAUUCUGUUUCUUGAUUUCAGCAUUCUCUUACACCAACUCCAUUCCUGAUUAUUUUAUUUCUCAUUCGGAAUUUGUAUUAUCCUGGCCUUUUAUCAUCGAGAACAGGACAAGAGUCUACUUAUAAUUAUCAUGUGAUCAACAAUUUGUUAAUUUCUGAUUUAGUCUAAUAAUUGUUUCAAUUAAUAGGAGCUGUUUGUGGAUCUGCAAGCCUUAUGAACUCUAUG